UGUAAUACUGGAUAUACCUUCUAAUCUAAGAUUAGUCGGGAAACGUUUUUUCGCUUCGAGAUCAGACUAUAUCCCAUCAGCUUGUUGGUGAGGUAAGAGCUCACCAAGGCAAUGACGGGUAGCGGGUUUGAGAGGAUGAUCCGCCACACUGGUACUGAGACACGGACCAG
RNAcentral lists this ribosomal RNA (170 nucleotides) under uncultured bacterium. RNAcentral describes it as "partial 16S ribosomal RNA". It matches the Rfam family "Bacterial small subunit ribosomal RNA", at positions 162 to 334 of the family's 1533-position model. The record is from RNAcentral.